This 21-nucleotide unclassified non-coding RNA is filed under the name Chlamydomonas reinhardtii. RNAcentral describes it as "small RNA Cre_0484". The record is from RNAcentral. Lineage: Eukaryota; Viridiplantae; Chlorophyta; Chlorophyceae; Chlamydomonadales; Chlamydomonadaceae.
AGCGGUGACGAGGUCAUGCCG